GUAUGUGAGGGUGCUCUGGCUGUGACAUGUGUCACCCCAUUGAUUUCCAGGGUUGAUUCAACUGCUCUGGCUGGCUUGGCGGGUGUCCCCUUCCUCCCUCACCACUCCAUAUGCCUCCUUCCUGAAGUCAUGUGCUCGGUCAAAGAGGAUGGCCAUCCCUGAUAGAGGAGGACCAGUGUUCAGUCAAGGGUAUUCAAGUAACUGUGCUCCCCUGCUAGAACCUCCAAACAUGCUCUUAAAAAUUGGCAGGGGGCUUAACCAGGGUUCCAGGGCUAGGAAGAAAACAAAAGCAGGCUCUGGAAUCAGUCAGCUGUCUCU
This 318-nucleotide small nuclear RNA is filed under the name Cebus imitator (Panamanian white-faced capuchin). RNAcentral describes it as "7SK RNA (ENSCCAG00000009703.1)". It matches the Rfam family "7SK RNA". Rfam says of the family: 7SK was discovered as an abundant small nuclear RNA in the mid-70s but a possible function has only recently been suggested. Two independent studies have found that 7SK RNA binds the CDK9/cyclin T complex (known as elongation factor P-TEFb). The record is from Rfam by way of RNAcentral. Lineage: Eukaryota; Metazoa; Chordata; Mammalia; Primates; Cebidae.